This 1294-nucleotide long non-coding RNA is filed under the name Triticum aestivum (bread wheat). RNAcentral's name for it is "long non-coding RNA (TAES_LNC002459)". Lineage: Eukaryota; Viridiplantae; Streptophyta; Magnoliopsida; Poales; Poaceae. The record is from RNAcentral.
CUUCUCUCACCCUAGUCCAUAUAGAUGCUUAGUUCUUCAUGGACAUUGUCUCUAAUGUUUUUUUAAUAUAUUUUGGCUUAGACAUAAAAAACUCUGUGCCGCCUGUCGCACAAUUUUUUUGUCAUCCGGGGAAACCCUGUUUUCCAUUAAUUUCUUGAUGUAUGGUUAACAUGCAGUCUUCUAGACGAAGAUGGAUUUAGGCUGUGUGGUUCCAUAGUAUGCAUUGCACUCCCUCUAAGCAUGAAUAUCUAAACAUGCAUGAUGUAUAUUGCUCAGUCAUGUUUUUUUCCUUUAUAUUUCCAGGAUAUAUACAUAUGUAUUGCAUUAGAAUAUAACUUCUACUUUUGUACUAUUAUUUUUCUUCCAGGUCAAUGUGGUAGAACACCGUGUAUAUCAAAUAUCUUCAGGUUUCAGGAUUUAAAUGUCCUUUGUUUUGUGUACCAGGUGGUUACCUAAGUUUUUUUUUGCUUAUUAUGUUAGAUCAUGAACAAAUUAAGACAUAUAUAUUAAUCUAGCAAUUGAUAGCAUUUCUUCUCAUAUUGUUGAUUCUCUUACAGAUCUACCACCUCAAAUGGUGCUGACAAAGAUGCAAAGCACUCUGCAGUAGAGUUUAAAUACCAGGUUUUAAAGUGAACAUUUGCCCUCAUGAAGCCCCCACUUUGUGGCCAUUGCAGUUGUGGUUAAGGAGGAUUCCCGCCAGCGCCAUCUCACUGCUGGCCUGUGUAAUCAAUUUAUGUUUCCAACCUUUUUGUUUAUAGUAAGUAGAACAUCGCCUAGAAAUAAAGUAAGGUUGUUUCUGCCAUGCCUAUGUGGCCACUGAAGCAUAUCACUUUUUGUUUCAUGUGCACCAUAGUCUAGAUUUAGUUUAGUGAUAUCCCAACCCUUUUGUUCUUGCUCCCAAGAACAAGACAUGUAUUGACCUUAGACUAUCGUAAUCAUCUAUGUGCCACACAUCCUUUGGUGGCUGUGUAUUCUAAAUGAAAACAAGCACUUCCUAAUAUUGAUGUAUCCCCUCAGUUGUAUUGGUACUACUACAUAUUUGUCAUAACACUACCAAUCAUAUAUAGUAAAUUCAAAGGUGUCUUUAUGAUGCAUCUCUACCUAUGUGCCUUGCUUGACAAAAGCAAUUUACUUACAUAGUAUGCUAUUAUCAAGUGACCUCAUUACUUGUAGUCUAUCAUGGUACCAAGUAUCUAUUAAGUAUCGGGCAUAUAUACAUGGUUUGAAUACUUGGCUCGCUCUCGCUUUUUGCGCUAUGGGCGCUCUGUUCUUGAUCAUGAAUCUUUACGUGUCU